CCUGCCUCCUCAUCGUACACUCCAACAAGUUGUGGACAAUUUCUUUUGUCAUGCGACACUCCAACAAUCCCACAGCCCCUGCAUUUCCUAGCCUUCUUGAUAGCCUUCUCUUUUCCUCCCUUUAGUCGUUUACCACAACCCUUUGUCCUUAUCGAAGAUGGUUCUUUGAGACAGGAUACAUCAAUAAUAUGACAGUAUAUAAUGCUUGCCUACUUAUUUGAAAGGUCAUGAAUUAAUAUGACAUGAGUAGGUUGGCCCUCGUAUAGUCGUAUCUUAUGAUUUGAUUAUUUGAUCUGAAUUAAUUAUUACAAAUUUACACAUAAUUUGGGGUGGUUAAGUUUUUCUUGCAAUAAAUAUAGUUGGGUCAUUAACAAUUUUCAUAAUCAAGUUUUAAAACCAGAGAAAUCGGACAGUUAAUGCACCUUUCUGUUAUUUUAAAAAAGAAAAGAAAAGAAAAACAGAUCAUCAAGAAUUACUCACUAGAAGACAAAUUAAAGAGUACAUAGUACUUUCACCUCAAAUUCAGUUUGAAUGGCCAUUACGAGCAUUUAAACCCCAUUUGAGGAUGCUUCCAGACAGAUGAUAUAUAGCACAUUCGACCAGCAUCGUACUUCAAUAAAAUAUAUGGAACGAGAACGGGAAUGUAAACGCGACUUUGCGAGGUACAGAGUACAUAGUAGGUGUAGAUUUCUGUAAUUGCUUAGUUAGUAUGAAAUAUGUUUUCUCAUGUUAUGGCUUGUAAACUAAGAAGCAAUUAGUAAAUGGAAGCACAGAGGACAUCAAAUAAUUAAAGAAACCCUGAAGAAAAAUUGAAAUGAAAAAGCAAACUCACUAGAAGAAAAUAGAAAUGAGGUGGUACUCUUCUUGUAGAUGAUCGACCUUGUUGAAAUAGCUUAUUUCUUUC
This 904-nucleotide long non-coding RNA is filed under the name Panax ginseng (ginseng). Its description in RNAcentral is "long non-coding RNA (PGIN_LNC003322)". Lineage: Eukaryota; Viridiplantae; Streptophyta; Magnoliopsida; Apiales; Araliaceae. The record is from RNAcentral.